Molecule: long non-coding RNA, 395 nt
Filed under: Brassica napus (rape)
Lineage: Eukaryota; Viridiplantae; Streptophyta; Magnoliopsida; Brassicales; Brassicaceae
Description: long non-coding RNA (BNAP_LNC023057)
Source: RNAcentral
ACGACAUUUAAAUUAUCAUAUAAAAUGAAUUUCCAUUAUAAAUGAGCAUGAUAGUUUUUUAAACAUGCGUGAUCACAGUAAAGCAUCUCAAUUUUUUGUUUUGUUUUUUAAUGUUAGGUCCAACAAAUCGGGUGGGUUAAAUGAAACACGGGUUUAAGAACAAUGGAGUACGAGUAUAGGUGGGGUGAGGUGGCAAAGCAUGUGUGAUGUUGUAGUUGGUUACAUGAUGGUGUAGCAAGAAGGAAUCAUCUACUUACUUCAUCUUUAAUUGUGGACCCAAUUUUUAGUCUAUUUUUGCAUGCCACAAUCAAUUGUUAUGAUUAAACCUAUAGAAGUGUUCAAAUAAUAAUUUACUUUGAUAGAUCAUACAUACUGAACAAAGAAUGGUUGAUUUA